UUAGGAAUUUUGCGCAAUGGCCGAAAGGCUGACGCAGCAACGCCGCGUGGGGGAUGAAGGCUUUCGGGUCGUAAACCCCUUUUAGAUGGGAAGAAAAAAAUGACGGUACCGUCAGAAAAAGCACCGGCUAACCCUGUGCCAGCAGCCGCGGUAAUACAGAGGGUGCAAGCGUUAUUCGGAAUCACUGGGCGUAAAGAGUUCGUAGGCGGUUUGUUAAGUCGAAUGUGAAAGCCCUGGGCUCAAUCCAGGAAGUGCAUUCGAUACUGGCAAGCUAGAGUGCAGGAGAGGAAGGCGGAAUUCCAGGUGUAGAGGUGAAAUUCGUAGAUAUCUGGAGGAACAACAGAGGCGAAGGCGGCCUUCUGGACUGUCACUGACGCUGAGGAACGAAAGCGUGGGGAGCAAAC
This 404-nucleotide ribosomal RNA is filed under the name uncultured bacterium. RNAcentral describes it as "bacterial SSU rRNA". It matches the Rfam family "Bacterial small subunit ribosomal RNA", at positions 355 to 773 of the family's 1533-position model. The record is from RNAcentral.